This 440-nucleotide ribosomal RNA is filed under the name uncultured bacterium. RNAcentral's name for it is "partial 16S ribosomal RNA". It matches the Rfam family "Bacterial small subunit ribosomal RNA", at positions 338 to 795 of the family's 1533-position model. The record is from RNAcentral.
CCUACGGGAGGCUGCAGUGGGGGAUAUUGCACAAUGGGGGGAACCCUGAUGCAGCGACGCCGCGUGGGUGAAGGAGCGUUUCGGCGCGUAAAGCCCUAUCGGCAGGGAAGAAGAUGAUGGUACCUGGCCAAGAAGCUCCGGCUAACUACGUGCCAGCAGCCGCGGUAAGACGUAGGGGGCAAGCGUUAUCCGGAUUUACUGGGUGUAAAGGGGGCGCAGACGGCAAUGCAAGACAGGAGUGAAAGCCCGGGGCCCAACCCCGGGACUGCCGUUGGAACUGCAUGGCGGGAGUACAGGAGGGGCAGGCGGAAUUCCUAGUGUAGCGGUGAAAUGCGUAGAUAUUAGGAGGAACACCGGUGGCGAAGGCGGCCUGCUGGACUGUGACUGACGUUGAGGCCCGAAGGCGUGGGGAGCAAACAGGAUUAGAUACCCCUGUAGUC